RNAcentral lists this non-coding RNA (31 nucleotides) under Homo sapiens (human). Lineage: Eukaryota; Metazoa; Chordata; Mammalia; Primates; Hominidae. The record is from RNAcentral.
UAUACAGCAGGAGCCGAUUUGGCAGAGAGAC